ACUGCAUUUUAGCAGCUUCCAGCCAGUGAACUCACAAGGGUAGACAGGGUGCUAAGUGAGGGAGGGGCAAGUCUUGCACUAACACCAUGAAGGCCUGUGACCCAAUGAGUUGAGUUUGACAGUAGUUCUUGCUACAAGU
Panthera pardus (leopard) is the source of this 139-nucleotide small nucleolar RNA. The record is from Ensembl. Lineage: Eukaryota; Metazoa; Chordata; Mammalia; Carnivora; Felidae.